This 392-nucleotide unclassified non-coding RNA is filed under the name uncultured fungus. RNAcentral describes it as "sequence contains ITS1". The record is from RNAcentral. Lineage: Eukaryota; Fungi.
GAACAGGGCCUCGACUGCGAAGCCUUUCUCCCCCCGCAUACCCAGGGCGACCUGUUCGAAUGAAACUGUUGGGAUAAGUUGAGUUACAAUAGCGGUCAUCAAUGUUUCGGAAUGUUCUCCAUGGCCGACAAGCUCAGCAAGACCAAAUCCAGUUUCUAUCGUCGUCUCUAUGUGGCAUAUCUGAUCGAUACAGGAGUCGCCACCAGCGUGCCUGCGUUGACCGAGGUCACCGGCAUGCCGCGGCGUACCGCCCAAGACACCAUCAACUCCCUGGCUGAAUUGGAUAUCGUCUGCGAAUUCGAGAACAUCGAAGGCGAACGACACAAUAUCGGUCGCUACAUGAUCCGCGACUGGGGUGCCAUCAACAGGCGCUGGAUCGCCAACCACCUGAC